This 253-nucleotide ribosomal RNA is filed under the name uncultured bacterium. RNAcentral's name for it is "partial 16S ribosomal RNA". It matches the Rfam family "Bacterial small subunit ribosomal RNA", at positions 524 to 776 of the family's 1533-position model. The record is from RNAcentral.
UACGUAGGGACCAAGCGUUGUUCGGAUUUACUGGGCGUAAAGGGCGCGUAGGCGGCGUGACAAGUCACUUGUGAAAUCUCUGGGCUUAACCCAGAACGGCCAAGUGAAACUGUUGUGCUAGAGCGCAGAAGGGGCAAUCGGAAUUCUCGGUGUAGCGGUGAAAUGCGUAGAUAUCGAGAGGAACACCAGAGGUGAAGACGGGUUGCUGGGCUGACACUGACGCUGAGGCGCGAAAGCCAGGGGAGCAAACGGG